Molecule: long non-coding RNA, 528 nt
Filed under: Heterocephalus glaber (naked mole-rat)
Lineage: Eukaryota; Metazoa; Chordata; Mammalia; Rodentia; Bathyergidae
Description: lncRNA (ENSHGLG00000045421.1)
Source: RNAcentral
GCAGCGAGCUGAGCAGCAAGCUGAGCGCGGCGUGGGGAGCACGAACGGCGCGGGGGACUCCGGCGGCGCCGGGUUCCCGCGAUUCCUGCUUGCGGCUCAGCGAAGCAGCCUCCGGCGGUGACGAACACAGCGACAGCGUCCGGGAGAUGCGGCGGGUCUCCCCGGGGACCGGAGUCCUGGCCUCUUUCUCAGCCAUAUAUAAUCUCAUACUUUGAUGAAUAAUUCCUUCAGCUCAAUGGAUAAGAGAAACCAGGCAAAACUUCACCCUCAAAAGAUGAGGAAGCUGAAGCAGGAGGAGCAGUGAACAUCCCGGGAUACUUCUCUCCCCAGCAACCAUAGUGACAUUUUAAAAUCAAGAGACACAAUGCCACCUCACCCCAGUAAGAAUGGCUGCUAUCAUGAAAUCAACCAAUAACAAAUGCUGAUGGGGCUGUGGGGAAAGAGGAAGCCUGCUCCACUGCCGGUGGGAGUGUAGACUGGUGCAACCACUGUGGAAAUCAGUAUGGAGAUACCUCAAAGAACUAGGAC